RNAcentral lists this ribosomal RNA (468 nucleotides) under uncultured bacterium. Its description in RNAcentral is "partial 16S ribosomal RNA". It matches the Rfam family "Bacterial small subunit ribosomal RNA", at positions 28 to 507 of the family's 1533-position model. The record is from RNAcentral.
GACGAACGCUGGCGGCGUGCUUAACACAUGCAAGUCGAACGGAAAGGCCCUUCUUUUGUUGGGUGCUCGAGUGGCGAACGGGUGAGUAACACGUGAGUAACCUGCCCUUCACUUUGGGAUAACUUCAGGAAACUGGGGCUAAUAUCGGAUAGGAUCUCCUGCUUCAUGGUGGUGGUUGGACAGUUUCGGCGGUUGGGGAUGGACUCGCGGCUUUUCAGCUUGAUGGUAGGGUAGUGGCUUUCCAAGGCUUUGACGGGUAGCCGGCCUGAGAGGGUGACCGGCAACAUUGGGACUGAGAUACGGCCCAGACGCGUACGGGAGGCAGCAGUGGGGAAUAUUGCGCAGUGGGCGGAAGCCUGAUGCAGCAACGCCGCGUGCGGGAUGACGGCCUUCGGGUUGUAAACCGCUUUCGCCUGUGACGAAGCGUGAGUGACGGUAAUGGGUAAAGAAGCACCGGCUAACUACGUG